UUGCAACCUGAACUCAGGCGUGAUUACCCGCUGAACUUAAGCAUAUCAUUUAGCGGAGGAAAAGAAACUAACAAGGAUUCCCUAGUAACGGCGAGUGAACGGGGAGAAGCCCAGCGCUGAAUCUUUCGGUGUUACACCGUUAAGAAAUGUAGCGUAUAGGUGUGGUUUUCAGUUUGUGCUACUUAUCCAAAGUCCCUUUGAUAGGGGCCACAUUCCCGAGAGGGUGCGAGACCUGUGCGGAUAGUGGAGCAAGCUGUACGAUCAUACCUUGGAGUCGGGUUGCUUGAAAGUGCAGCCUAAAGUGGGUGAUAAACUUCAUCUAAGGCUAAAUAUAGACGCGAAUUCGAUAGCAAACAAGUACUGUGAAGGAAAGUUGCAAAGAACUUUGAAGAGAGAGUUCAAGAGAACGUGAAAUCGCUGGAGUGGAAACGAGAGAGUUGACGUAGUCCGGUGACUAAGUUUGCCGAAAUCGCUUAAUUGUGAUUAAGGUGAAUGUAUGUUGCCUAUGGCUGCGCUGACAGCACUGGUUGUACGUUCCGAACCGUUUUCGUUGCCCAAUUUUCGAAUUGGUGUCUUGUUUACGGGUAGGUUUGUUAUGACUAGUGUUUUAUCCUGUUUUAUGCAGGGUGUCAGUGUGAAGGUCGACCACCUCUCCGACCCGUCUUGAAACACGGACCGAGGAGUGUAACUUGUACGCGAGUCAAAGGGUGGAAAACCCCAAGGCGCAAUGAAAGUAAAGGUCGGUUAACCGACUGACAUGGGAUCCGUUUCGUUUUGAAGCGGCGCACCAUGGCCCUGUCUUGUCUGCUUGCAGAUGGGCAGCGGUAGAGCGUACAGGUUGCGACCCGAAAGAUGGUGAACUAUGCCUGAGCAGGACGAAGUCAGAGGAAACUCUGGUGGAAGUCCGUAUCGGUUCUGACGUGCAAAUCGAUCGAUAGACUUGGGUAUAGGGGCGAAAGACUAAUCGAACCAUCUAGUAGCUGGUUCCUCCGAAGUUUCCCCCAGGAUAGCUGGAGUUCAUUGCGGUUAUAUCCGGUAAAGCGAAUGAUUAGAGGACUUGGGGUCGAAACGACCUCAACCUAUUCUCAAACUUUCAAUGGGUAUGUUGUCUCGGUUUCUUUGUUGAACUGUUGACACGAACGCGAACUCCAAGUGGGCCAUUUUGGUAAGCAGAACUGGCGCUGUGGGAUGAACCAAACGUUGGGUUAAGGUGCCUAACUUUUCGCUCAUGAGACCCCAUAAAAGGCGUUGGUUGAUAUAGACAGCAGGACGGUGGCCAUGGAAGUCGGUACCCGCUAAGGAGUGUGUAACAACUCACCUGCCGAAUCAACUAGCCCUGAAAAUGGAUGGCGCUUGAGCGAGAGACCUAUACCCAACCGUUGCUGGCUUGUGCGUGCCUGUCGCCUGGCUGCAACGAGUAGGAGGGUCGUGGCGGUUGCGUCGAAGGUUUUGGGCGUAGGCCCAACUGGAGCUUCCGUCAGUGCAGAUCUCGGUGGUAGUAGCAAAUAUUUAAGUUCGAUCCUUGAAGACUGAAGUGGAGAAGGGUUCCACGUGAACAGUAGUUGAAUGUGGGUCAGUCGAUCCUAAGAUACUGGCUUAUGCCUUGUAUCAUCGAGAGGGAAAAGUCUCUUUUCUCUCGGAUAUCAAAAGGAAUAGGUUAAUAUUCCCUAACGCAGACACAGAGAUUGUGGCUCUUACGAGUCACUUGCGCGGUAACGCAUUCGAACUUGGUUACGUCGCUCAGAGACCGAGCUAGAGUUCUCUUCUCUAGUUAAGGAACGGACUCCUGGAAUCGGUUCAGCCGUAGAUAGGGACGUUGUUUCCGUAAAGCAUCGCGGUUUCUGUGAUGUCUCGUGUUCUCUGGACGGCCCUUGAAAAACCAAGGAGGCUAUUAAUCUGUGCUGCAUCGUACCGAUAUCCGCAUCAGGUCUCCAAGGUGAACAGCCUCUAGUCGAUAGAAUAAUGUAGGUAAGGGAAGUCGGCAAAUUAGAUCCGUAACUUCGGGAAAAGGAUUGGCUCCAGUGACCGGGUCGGUUGGCUUGUUAACUGAUGCUUGUGCGGUUUCGUCCGUGGCUGGCUGAUACUAACGUUGAUGCUGGACUAGUGACAUGACUGCCUUGUGGACGUUUUCAGGUGUGUGCUUUGUCUUCGGACUUAGUAUCCUGAUCGACCAUCAAAACGGUCGAACUGGAACUGGUACGGACUCGGGAAUCCGACUGUCUAAUUAAAACAGAGGAGACAGAUGGUCCUUGCGGACGUUUACUGUCUCUGAUUUCUGCCCAGUGCUCUGAAUGUUAAAUCGUAGUAAUUCGAGUAAGCGAGAGAGGGCCCGCAAGCGCCUUAUUUGAGGCGACUUCCACCAAGCUCUGCUUCGAGGCUGAACGAGCAUAACGCUCAAAACCUACGACUUAACCGACAACGAGGAGGCGCGAGGUCAACGCAAGAGCUGCGCGAUCUUUACGAAUACAGCGAAUUGAAAAGGAUCAUUAGACGAUACACGGAAAGACGACGCGGAUGCCCGGCAGUCGCGAAGGAGCCUAGAGAUUCAGCAAUCCAAACGCCUGUGGAAGAGGUGAGAGAUUACUGGAAGGAGAUAGUCGGAAGACACGAACCUUUCACACCCUCAUCAGAACUGGUGGGUUGGUCUCGAGGAGAGGGCAGACCACCGGAGAAAACUCAUGGAAGUUGAAACGUGGAAGGACGCGGGUCCCGAUGGUAUAAAGGAUUUUGAUGGAAGCACCUUCCAAAGACUAAAUUAAGGCUUAAACAAAGGUGCGAGUAUGUAACAAACAAGCCUCGAAAAGCGAUAACCAGGUGGCUAUGCCGAUGCAGGACGGUAUUGAUGCUCAAAGUAAAGGGAGGUCAACGCGGUCCCGGAGACUUUAGACUAUUGCAUGUUUGAACACAUGCUGCAAAAUACUAUUGA
Molecule: ribosomal RNA, 2926 nt
Filed under: Nippostrongylus brasiliensis
Lineage: Eukaryota; Metazoa; Nematoda; Chromadorea; Rhabditida; Heligmosomidae
Description: eukaryotic LSU rRNA
Rfam family: Eukaryotic large subunit ribosomal RNA (bases 4-2435)
Source: RNAcentral